Molecule: ribosomal RNA, 484 nt
Filed under: uncultured bacterium
Lineage: Bacteria
Description: partial 16S ribosomal RNA
Rfam family: Bacterial small subunit ribosomal RNA
Source: RNAcentral
AUUGAACGCUGGCGGCAGGCCUAACACAUGCAAGUCGAGCGGAUGAAGGGAGCUUGCUCCUGGAUUCAGCGGCGGACGGGUGAGUAAUGCCUAGGUAUCUGCCUGGUAGUGGGGGAUAACGUCUGGAAACGGGCGCUAAUACCGCAUACGUCCUGAGGGAGAAAGUGGGGGAUCUUCGGACCUCACGCUAUCAGAUGAGCCUAGGUCGGAUUAGCUAGUUGGUGGGGUAAAGGCCUACCAAGGCGACGAUCCGUAACUGGUCUGAGAGGAUGAUCAGUCACACUGGAACUGAGACACGGUCCAGACUCCUACGGGUGGCAGCAGUGGGGAAUAUUGGACAAUGGGCGAAAGCCUGAUCCAGCCAUGCCGCGUGUGUGAAGAAGGUCUUCGGAUUGUAAAGCACUUUAAGUUGGGAGGAAGGGCAGUAAGUUAAUACCUUGCUGUUUUGACGUUACCAACAGAAUAAGCACCGGCUAACUUCGUG